Non-coding RNA from Malus domestica (apple), 1385 nucleotides. The record is from RefSeq and is a predicted model, not a curated record. Lineage: Eukaryota; Viridiplantae; Streptophyta; Magnoliopsida; Rosales; Rosaceae.
CAUAUCCAGUGCCACAUUCGAGAAAAGACGCUCUAACGGGUGUCCUUCUCUGCAAAGCUCUUAGGGUUUCGAAAGCCCCCAACUCUGAUUUCAAAUCAAUUCCCAAAACGCACCUUCUACCCAUUAGGGUUCGCCGUUUUCGAUAAUUUUUUCUGGGGGAUUCGUGUAUUCAGAUAAGUCUUAUUGGUUCCUGGGCUCUGAGCGAUCGAUUCGCCAAUGGCUCCGUCUUCGUCAUCGACGCUUGCGAAUCGGGACGCUUCUGCUUCAGCUGCUGAGGACGAAGCCGUCAUGUCCGUGACCCGAGCUUUUGCGCAGGUUGCGUUGCUGCAGUUCCAGCCGGGCAAGUUCGAUCAGCGCCUUACCGCCUUGUCUGAGUGCCUCAAGAGGAAGCCAAACGAUCCCAAAACUUUUCAUAAUAUCGGACUUGCGAAUCGGGAAGGUUGUUCAGACCCUAAGAGGUUGCUUGAUGUGCUUUAUGAUGUCAAGAUUUGAGUUUCAAUAAUGUGCCUCUGCUGGUUGAGGUAUCCAUUUACAAGUGGGGCACUUUUGCUGAAUUCAUAAGGCUUGCGUUCAGUCAACUCUCAUGCCGUCUUUCUCAUUUAGAGACCCUGAAGCUGGAUAUCAGGGGAGCGGUCUACAAUCAGAAUUAUGCGUUUCCCGCGUUAUCAAAUCUAAAGCAUUUGGAAUUAUUAGUGGAUGCCAACUACUGUCUGUCCCUUGGUCGCUUAGCUUCUUUCAUGAAGGCAGCUCCUGACUUGCGCAGCCUUGUUUUGGGGUUGGGUUUCGGAACCUCCAAUGAGGACAUGGCAAUACUAGAGAAAGUUUCCAAACAACCCCAUCACUGCCUCAAGGUGGUAGAAAUAGCAGGGUAUCGAGGUCACAAGUGUUGCGUAAAGCAUGGCAGGUACUUGGGUGAAGAAUGUUGUUGCACUAGAGAAGAUUGUUAUAAAUCCUGUCCGGUUUUGGUGUCAGCCUACGGGAAUCGAGAUCAAUUGCCUACUGGAGAAUGAAGAAGAGAAUGCCAGAGAUCAUGCUAUCCAACACCUCAAGAAAAAAGUGCCCGCCAGUGUAGAAUUUGUGUGCCGGUAGGAGUGCAGCUCCGCAGUGCUUAUUCGGAAGCAGCUACUUGAAUAACUAUUAAUUUUAGUGGCUGCAGAACUUGGUAUGGAAUGAAGAUUUGUAAGACGAUUUUCUCCGGCUUUUAAUUUCUCCUCUUAUUAAUUUUAGUGUUUCUUUAAUUGUCUAUGGUGUUUUGUUCUGGAUGAUCAUGUAAAAUUAUGAUUGAACUGAAUGAAUCCAUUUUUCCAGUAAUUUUACUUUUGAUGAUUUGUAAAUUUGGUGACCAAAUAAUGGAGAGCUGCUCUCUUGAACUCAACUUGAUUUGA